Long non-coding RNA from Sarcophilus harrisii (Tasmanian devil), 757 nucleotides. RefSeq lists it as uncharacterized. NCBI's taxonomy places the organism in Eukaryota, Metazoa, Chordata, Mammalia, Dasyuromorphia, Dasyuridae. The record is from RefSeq and is a predicted model, not a curated record. The transcript has 5 exons.
GUGUGUGUAUGUGUGAGUGUGUGUGACUGUGUGUGUCCGUGUGUAUGUAUGUAUGUGUGUGUGUUUGGGGGUGGGGAGAUUUUCAAAAGUUCAGUGUGAAUCAGGUGACAUUUUCCACCUUCCCAAUUAUCUGUUUUAGACUGCUGAAAUAUCUAGCUCCGGGUCAGCUCUAAACGUGUAUUUAUUGCGUAUGCUCUGCCGAUCUUGAAAUUCAUGUAAUGUCAGCAAAGAGAGAGAAAGUUAAAAAUCCAAGAAAAGCAGUAGAAUGCAACAUCCUGAAGAUGCAAGGAUUCUGAGAAGGAAGUGUAUUUUUUCUUCCCCCCAAGGAAUUUGGGAGUGGAGAACACAGGAUGAAAGCUUCUAAAGAACUCAGGGGUUCCUCUUUCCGCUUAUUUAGUAAAUUUGCUGUGAUGAAAAGUACAUGGAAUGAGUCACAGGUCAAUACUUGUUCCAUAUGUGCGUCCUCUGUGCAUCAGCAGAAGAUCAAUCCGAUUGCAGUGGGGUGGAAUUGUAUCACACCUGUUCGGUGACAUCACAGAGAACAGCUGUUGUUUCUUGUAUUAUUUUAUCUCCUUUAACUGUUAAAUAUUGGGUUUACAUCUGCCAAAAUGUCAGGGUCACAUUUUAAAAUAAAAAUGCUUUCUUUCAUUUAUUUGUGUGCUUCCAUUUUCAACUUUGUUCCCCCUUCAAGUUUGCCAAAAAGUAAAUGUAAAUUAACAGAAGACACAAUAGGACUACUUUGUAGCUGAGUCUGAUC